RNAcentral lists this long non-coding RNA (491 nucleotides) under Manacus vitellinus (golden-collared manakin). Its description in RNAcentral is "lncRNA (ENSMVIG00005012251.1)". The record is from RNAcentral. Lineage: Eukaryota; Metazoa; Chordata; Aves; Passeriformes; Pipridae.
AGCCAGGUAUUUGGACAGAGGGAAGUGUGAGCCUAACUCUAAGCUUCCACAGCUCUGACCCUCCUGGGACAGUGACAGGAACGAAACAGUCUGUUCAGAAAUCCCUCAACACUGUCGUUCUUUUUAUAGAUCCCAAAGCAAUGGAAUGAAGAAUGGAAAAGCGCUUUGGUGUCACAAAGUGCACAGGAGGGGUCACAACAGAUCAGAUGAUUGAAAAGAAAAAUGAGAAAUUUGUCUUCUCCUGAACUGUAAAAAUGGACACCAGAAGAUCUAACUAAGUCAGAAUGUCUCAGUUACAGUCCAGAUUUCUAUUUAUUACCUACCUCACCGAGAAAGACAAGGCUCCCAUACUGUUAUCCUGAGAACUCCCUGGCUUGCAGGAGCACUCUUUCUUCUGGAGAGCCCUGAAGAAAUAGCUUAUACAAAAAGUCUGUCUGUGCACAAGGGGAAAAAAGGCAGCACUAAGGAUAAGGUAAGCAAUAGCCAUGAAU